RNAcentral lists this non-coding RNA (21 nucleotides) under Caenorhabditis elegans. The record is from RNAcentral. Lineage: Eukaryota; Metazoa; Nematoda; Chromadorea; Rhabditida; Rhabditidae.
UUUAUGGAUUGAAUACUCAUG